Molecule: ribosomal RNA, 454 nt
Filed under: uncultured bacterium
Lineage: Bacteria
Description: partial 16S ribosomal RNA
Rfam family: Bacterial small subunit ribosomal RNA
Source: RNAcentral
GAUGAACGCUGACAGAAUGCUUAACACAUGCAAGUCAACUUGAACUUCGGUUUGGGUGGCGGACGGGUGAGUAACGCGUAAAGAACUUGCCUCACAGCUAGGGACAACAUUUGGAAACGAAUGCUAAUACCUGAUAUUAUGAUUAUAUGGCAUCGUAUAAUUAUGAAAGCUAUAUGCGCUGUGAGAGAGCUUUGCGUCCCAUUAGCUAGUUGGAGAGGCAACAGCUCACCAAGGCGAUGAUGGGUAGCCGGCCUGAGAGGGUGAUCGGCCACAAGGGGACUAAGAACGGCCCCUACUUCCUCGGGGGGGCAGCAGGGGGGAAUAUUGGACAAGGGCCCAAGAGUGUUACCCAGAAUUUGUGUGUGCAGAAAAAAUUUUUUGGGAAUAAAAAGUGCUUUAGGUGGGAAAAAAAAAAAUGACGGCCCAAAAAAAAGAAGUGACGACAAAAUCCGUC